Drosophila ficusphila is the source of this 5656-nucleotide long non-coding RNA. RefSeq lists it as uncharacterized. The record is from RefSeq and is a predicted model, not a curated record. NCBI's taxonomy places the organism in Eukaryota, Metazoa, Arthropoda, Insecta, Diptera, Drosophilidae. The transcript is spliced from 4 exons.
UCGCCACGCAACGACCGCCAGUCGAGGUUGUCCGGCUCCAGAGCAGCAGAAGAAUCCCCAAAGAACCCAAAGAGAACUCUGAAAAGAACCCCCCAAAGAACCCUUUUCCCAGCCAAGUUCUAGACCUUUGGGCCAGCCAAAAAGUGCAGCGACAGUCGAGCCGAGAGCCUCAAGCGAUACAGUCGCAAGUGCUCUGUAACCAAAAAAAAAAAAAAAAAAAAAUAAAUGAUUAUCCAAACUCUAUCAAAAAAGAACCCCAAGUGAUCCAGCUAGCCAGGAAUUUGAAACCGUCAAGUACACUUGCUGUGUCUCUGUGUGUUUUUACUCUUGUACUGGCCAAGUUCUGAUACGCUUUUAAGGCAUUCGUGUGUAAUUUAACUCCGUCUCGGGCAUAAUCAAUUCGCCGUAAUCCAUUUGCAUUUAAUACGUCGCGCCAACUUCCAAAAAAAAAUAUGAAAAAAAAAAACACGAAAACAACUUCAAUGGGAAGCCAGAAAACAAAUAUGACAGGUGCUGGUGUGAGCCGGAAAAUUACAGGUGAGUGCGCAGUCAUUAGGGGACAUUUAUUAUAAUCAAGUGACAAGUGGAAAAGGGUUGGGUUUGUGGUAUUACAAGGGAAAGAACAAAAUGAAUAUCAAGUAUCCGCAGAGUGUACCAAAAUUAGAAGUAACACCAAGGCAUUUGGUAUCAAAGGAAGAUAAAGAUAUUUCUUAGAAACAGGAUUCUUAUGUUGUAUUUUCGUACAUUCCUUAAAUUCGUUGAAACUGUGUUCAAGAUCAGAGGAAUGAAAAAGACGCCAAGAUAUCCAAAGAAAAGAGUGCUUAAAAAGAAAUUCCGGGAGAGCUAUAAACGUGGCCAAUCCCCCGCUGUAAUCCUUCCAUUUGGCAGCUUCCAUUUCUUUGCGUACUUUCUCAAUGCAAUAAACGAGUCAUCAAUCUAACCGAACCGAUUCAUCAGCACAUUUGCUACGCUUUUCCCGAAGCAACCAGCCAGCCAACCGCUUUCCAUUCCCGUUGGCCAUGCAAAUUCCUGCGCCAAAAUGGGUUGCUUGUUGGUCAAUAACACUGCCAAUCACUUUCUGCCUAAUCAUGCGUCUCAGCCGCUCUUCUGCCCUUUUCUGUUUUGGGCCUUGUUUACGGCUCACGAUAAAUGAUGUUAAAUAGUCCGUGGCCGGAAUGAAUUUGCAGUUUGUGCGCGGCUGUCGCAAAAACUAAUUUCGCAUCGAUUCCGCUUUUCACGUGAGCGGUUAUCUUAUCGCCGGAACUCGGCGUUCUUCCUAUCAGCUGUUUGGAAGUGACAAUUUCAUUUGGCGGGCAUCCCCUGCCAGAGUGAUAAGCAAAUUAGCUCUAAUUGAGCUAAGCUGGCCGAAAAGCUCUGGAGCAGAUAACAUGGGAUUGGGGGCGUUAACUUUGGACUUCUAAAGGCUUUAGCCGCUCCAGCCUCGGGCGGUUCUCACAUUUGUUAUGGCCAAAAAGCUGCGAGACGGCCACGAAAAAAUCAUAAUAAAGAAAAGUGGCCGCAAAGAGUUCUUAAAGAAAGCCAGUGGACGCGAGGGGGGACAGGUGGAACUAGCCCAAAAGAAAAGAAUUUCUACUUAUAACGAGUUUUUAUUACAAACGCGCGAAAGCGGCGAGGCAGCCGAAAAUGUAUUAAAAAAAAAAAGACAAAAAUGGCCAAAUAGGAAGAAAAAAAAAAAAAAAAAGUAGCAGAAAAGGUAGUAAAAAUGGGCAAAGCGAGCGAGGCUAACUGAAUUCCUUCUGGGUGGCUAAAAGGGGGGUGGGCGGUGGAAGAGUUGCACAUAAAAAGUAACAGCAUUUUUGCCUACACUUAAGAAAAUAUACCUUUUAAUGUUAUUUGAUUUUUAGGGAAUAGUGGUUUAAAAAUUGAGUAUUUAAAGUUAAAAUUUUAUAAUUUAUUUAAUUUUUGAUAAAGAUGAAAUGAGAAUAAUAAGAAAAGGUUGCCUUAAAAAUUAUGUGUACAAACUUAAAAAUGUAACGAUAUAUUUAAAUUCAGAGCCAAACAAAUGCAAGUAAGAUAUAUUUUAAGAAAGAAUUUAUUGUAGGCCCUAUUGUCAUUUUUUAAGUGUAGACGCUGACAGAGAGGGCGCUAAAGGUUGGCUAGGAAGAGAGAGCGGGCGAAAGAGAGGGGGGCGGGCAGACAGAUGAAGACCAAGACUGCGAAAGCAUGAAGCAACAUUAUUCAAAAGAAAGCCAAGUUAAGGCAUGCACACAGACACACACUAGCUCACAAAAUAAAGAGACAGAUACAUGGCAGCAUAAUGCAGCAGCGAGAGACUGUGGGAGAGAGGAGGAGGAGGGAGUUGGGUGGCAGAUCGGCCAGGCAUUAAACAUCAUUCAGUUGCAGCGCCGCUGACUGCGCCGUCGACGUCGGCAGCGACGCCGGCAACAAUCACAUGCCGACAUUCUUUCAUUCGUACAACGACCUCGACUUUGAUUUGCAGUUUUGGCCAACAAAAAGAGAGCCGCUUCGGGCCAACAAAGAGAAAGAGAGCCGCAACGGCCUCUAGACGACCUACACGCCUGAGCAAUGGCCGCCAAAAGAGAGUGCGAGAAAGAACGGGAGCUUCGUGUUCGUUCGGCGCUCUUCGGCUCUCCGAGCAAUCGGCCAUAGCUUUUUAGGUACUGUUAACGGACUUUCGGAGCCGAGGCAACCACCUUAUACUUAUUCUACCAUGGCCAUAGCUUUGCUCGCUCGCUGGCUGUGAAACUCCAUUCAUUCGUGCUGCGCGUCUCGUCUGUGCCGGGUGCUUUCCGGCUCUCUCCUGCCUCCCUCUCUCGCCCCAGCCGCCCACCGUCCCCCCCCCCACACGCUCACAACUAAACGCCAAGGCAGUGCAAAUGUUAAACAAAGACAAAGACAGUUACACACAGACACACAGUGCUCCGGCGAAAUAAGUGCAAAAAAUCACACAAAAUAUUCCAAAAACCGAAUAAAACACAAAACACAAAACAAAAGUGAACAAUCAGCCAAAAAACUCUAAAGCCCCAGCCAAUGCGUCAUUCCCGGCAACAAGAGCUAUCGCCGCAGACACACGAGUACUCGCACUCAGAUAUUCGCACUCGCACAGUUGCAAUUACAAAGUGCGAACGACAGGCCCAGACAUCUACACCCAUACAGCCAGACAAAAGCAAUAUAGAACCGAGAUUUGCUCAAGAGAUCGGAACUAAAGCGCCUGAAAAGUCAGCAGGGCAGUGCGGUUCUUGAAACAAGUUUAUGGAAUUAGGAAUUACUUCACAAGAAAGUACAUAAAACCCGGCUGUUAGUUGAGUAGUUCCUUUACCAUCAAAGAUAGUUAGUUCCUAAACAGAGUUUGAAACUGUUGGCAGAGUACCUGAAUGUUUUACGACCUGGUCUUAUACGUUUGAUGGUAUCUCAACAAGUUCCACAGUUUGAAUAACUUUAAAUCGUUUUGUCUUAGGUUCUUUCUAGCUUUGAAUGUUGCCUAAGUAGUUAAGUAAAGUUUUUAAAAAGUGCAUACAUGACAUAAUAAUAAUGAUUUAGUUAGAUUGUGAACUUCCUUAGAUGCUAAACAAUUGUUCAGUUUUUAUAACUCAGGUAAAAUGAUAAGAAAUUUAAAUUUUUUAACUAAAUAGACACAAUAAAGCCUUGAGCUUCUGCAAUUAGUAUGGGACUUUCGCGCAGUGUAGAUUGUCAGACAGAAGGCAGACUGAAGAUGCAGUGGGAGGGGCUUUGAACGGUUAUCAGCCAGCGUCUCAAACCCAAACUCGAACCCAAACCGAAACCGGGGCCCAGGCUCAAACUGAAACUCAGAAACAGACUCAAAAUCAGACAGCGGCUGAAACUGAGACGCCGCUGCCGGCGUUGUCUGGAAUUCGUAUUGCCCAUAUGCGAGCGCACACGCCCAUUUGCACACAUGGCCAACCGGAUGUUGCAGCCAUCUUUGUCAUCUUUUUCAAUCUCAGCCUUGGCUAAGGUCGCUCCUGCCAAACCGAUGUCCCCCCAUCAGCGCGAAAGAGACGGCAACGGAGAGAGCCGAGUGGUUGCCGUGAAGUCGUGAAUUUAUAACAAAACGCUAGACUCGGCGACUCUGCUGACUCUGACCGACUGGUUUGGCGUGUUGGCCCGGCUAAAAUGGAUUUUUUAUGGCUACGACAAGCAAACAGAAACAGCAACAACUGAAUCAAAAGCAUAAAAAUGCCGCAGCCCCAAAAGCCCGCAAACCCGCAACACAAAUUCUGAAUGGGCACCAUCUGAAUUUUCGAAAAUUGAACAAGCGUGAUGAAGAGAGAGGGAGAAGGAGUGUGUGAGAGAAAGAGAGAGGGAGAGGGGGGAGAUAGCCGACGAUAAGGAAGAGCGGAUGUUCCUUGGAUUGCUUGGGUUCUUGGCCAGAUGGAAAUCUUAAAGGAAAACGGAUGGGAACGAAAGUCGAGGAACGAACAACUCUCGCACACACAGGCACUUCCGGAAUGGAUGGCUCGACUCCUGACUCCUGACUUCUGAGUCCUGAGUCCUGAAAACUGGAAACCUGAAAACCCGGGGCUCGAAGCCUUACCAACUUGACUCCCAGGAUCUUGGCACAACUCGAGUCGGACGCUUCAGAUAAGAGUCGGUAUCUUGGCAUCAUGUGCUCCCCCAUUGGGAAAUUCUGGAUGCGGAAUCAGGUAAGGGGUUGGAUGCCUGAGCAAACAAUCAUUAAUAUCAAUUUGACUCGGUAUCUGAGUUCUGUAUCUCUGCUGACUUCUUCUGUUUAUGACUGCAGCAGGGCCACAAAUUAUUUAUUUAGUUCAUUUCGGUUACUCGCCUGCGGCAGAUGCUCCAUCUUUUCCACCCCCCAACCAUUCUCCAUUCCGUUCCAUUGCCUCCUUUUGAUUCAUGGCAAAUAAACAAUAAAUUAAAUUACCACAUUUGAUUGCCGGGCUCAGAACAAUUUUUGGUAUUCCCCAUGUGCGUCUCCCAGUCUCCUGAUAUCGCAUACAGGAUACGAUGUCCUGUCCUGUCCUGUCAUACUUCGAGUGCGUAAAUGACUAAACGAAUGGAUGGAUGCAUUAUGUAUGCUGCCUGCUGAUGCGAUGGGGCAAAAUUGAUUUUUAAGUUACGACCAUACGCAUUUAUUUGGCAAUUGGACCUGCUCCUUUGGCUCCUUUGGCUUCUUGGGUCUCCUCGAUCUUCGCCUGCCAAUGCCAGGGAAUUGCAAUUCCAUUUCGCCAUGCAUCGUCGUCCUCAAGGAGUGUGUGUGUUAUGUAUGUCCUUUGGCCUGGCCAUCGGCAGAGAUUUAUGGGCGAACGCACAAAAACGUUCAUUGAAAACACAUUUUCCACUUUGCCCUACCCCCCUUCACUCAUUCCCCCUCCAUUUCGAAUUGCAAAUUCAAUAAAGCAUUAUAUAAUAUGGCCGAGACGUACACUCAAACUCAUACUGACACAUAAACGGUGCCACGAUGCGAGUGCAAUAAUUUACAACAUUUUAAUCGAAUUAGACGCAACCCCAGGCGAAGGCAAAAGCAAAGGCGAUGGCAAUGGUCACUGGCCAAGAAGCAAAAUGCAUUUUAAGUGCCGCCUGGCAGAACUUUGGCACUUGGCAGCUGAAUUCGCCACCAGCGGCGGAUGGAAAGACAAAAAGAAUGGCACACCCCGGGCCAAGGGAAUAGCACUUGAACAUGUGCCAGCAAAUCUAC